This is a long non-coding RNA of Clupea harengus (Atlantic herring), 1173 nucleotides long. RefSeq lists it as uncharacterized. The record is from RefSeq and is a predicted model, not a curated record. Lineage: Eukaryota; Metazoa; Chordata; Actinopteri; Clupeiformes; Clupeidae.
GCAUAUGAGCAAAUACCCCACUGUUCAACCUAAAAAGUAAUGCAAUUAUUGUUAGAUGAUACAAUUUUGAAUCAUUUGACAUUUAAGUGAUGCUAGUGAUGCUGCACAGGGGUGUAGGCUACUAACUUCUGUUGUAUAAUCUACGGUAGGGUGUGUCGUGUUAGCUGGUCAUUCUAUAUCUGACUCCACCUUUGUGGUUUCUCUUUAUCGUUCGAUUUUGCCCAAAUUCACAUUCUUCUGUGCUUCUGCGCAUUAGCUUCGCCCGCGAAACAUCUUGAAUGGACUGCAUAACGUAACUUUCGUGCAAUAUCCCUGACAAGGCAUGUAGGUUCCAUCAGGGUAGGCUAAGAAAACAUGUGUGACUAUGAGAGAGAAUGCGCUAUAGGCUGUCUUGGCUCGGGGGUUGAUGACGAACGGCAAAGGCUCAAGGUAUGCGUUCACUCCCUUGCUCACCCUCAGCUCGCUUGGCUGCUGGAGUUUCGGGCGGUUUACUCGUUGUAACUGUUCAGUGGGCUACUCGUAAUCUAUAAUGGGGGAUCUAUAAUGCUUUAUAACCGGACUGCAAGCGACAUGAAUACACCCCGGUGCCAGAGGACCUUUUCAAUUCAUUGACUUGAAGACGAAUGGAGACAAUUAAUUCGUAGGCUAUAACAGCAGAGUAGCCUACAAGGUUGUCUCACAUCAAGAUGCUUUUGAUCGAAAUUGUACUCCUGUCGUUAUUUACAAUAAAUACAGCACAGUCUCCAGAUCACCCACCAAUCAUCAACAGCGAUAUAUUUCCAGCAAUGCCUCAUCUCCUGGGACAGUCAUAUCUCAGUCUGGUCUUGCUGGCGCUGACAGUGGGGUUGUCCGGAGGAGUGUACCUCUGUGUGCUACGCUACAUCUGCGUUGGUUGUUGCCAGCCUGUCCUGGUUGGACCUGAGGAUCAAAACAUCUCUGGGGUCGUCUAAUACGACUCCGUGUCUGUCUCCGAAUGCCCCACAGUGUCUUGAGAAUACACUGAAGCAGCUGCACAGCAAAGGAUCACACCUCUAUCGACAUUGUAACAGUUGCCAAUAUGGAGGCAGAGUCAGACCUGACCGCACGUUUAGGAUUUUUUCCCCCCUCUUUGGGAAUAUGUGAAAGGAUUUGGGAUGCAUCAUAUUCCCCAGCGGAAACACUUCACGAAGUGGC